RNAcentral lists this non-coding RNA (27 nucleotides) under Mus musculus (house mouse). Lineage: Eukaryota; Metazoa; Chordata; Mammalia; Rodentia; Muridae. The record is from RNAcentral.
UGGGCUAUGUUUUGAGGUUUUGAUUGA